UACGGAGGGGGCAAGCGUUGUUCGGAUUUACUGGGCGUAAAGGGUGUGUAGGCGGCUGGAUAAGUCUGGUGUGAAAUCUUCACCGCUCAACGGGAAGAGGUCACUGGAAACUGUUCAGCUUGAGUAUGGUAGAGGUAAGCGGAAUUCCUGGUGUAGCGGUGAAAUGCGUAGAUAUCAGGAGGAACACCGGUGGCGAAAGCGCCUGUCUGGCCCAAUACUGACGCUGAUGCGCGAAAGCUAGGGGAGCAAACGGG
RNAcentral lists this ribosomal RNA (254 nucleotides) under uncultured bacterium. RNAcentral describes it as "partial 16S ribosomal RNA". It matches the Rfam family "Bacterial small subunit ribosomal RNA", at positions 524 to 776 of the family's 1533-position model. The record is from RNAcentral.